GUAGGGAAUAUUGGGCAAUGGAGGCAACUCUGACCCAGCCAUGCCGCGUGCAGGAUGACGGCCCUCUGGGUUGUAAACUGCUUUUAUACGGGAAGAAAAAAUACUACGUGUAGUAUACUGACGGUACCGUAAGAAUAAGGAUCGGCUAACUCCGUGCCAGCAGCCGCGGUAAUACGGAGGAUCCAAGCGUUGUCCGGAUUUAUUGGGUUUAAAGGGUGCGUAGGCGGAUCUUUAAGUCAGUGGUGAAAGCCUGCAGCUUAACUGUAGAAUUGCCAUUGAAACUGAAGAUCUUGAAUGUGGGUAAAGUAGGCGGAAUGUAUCAUGUAGCGGUGAAAUGCUUAGAUAUGAUACAGAACACCGAUAGCGAAGGCAGCUUGCUGAACCAUUAUUGACGCUGAGGCACGAAAGCGUGGGGAGCGAACAGGAUUAGAAACCCGGGUAGUCC
This 445-nucleotide ribosomal RNA is filed under the name uncultured bacterium. Its description in RNAcentral is "partial 16S ribosomal RNA". It matches the Rfam family "Bacterial small subunit ribosomal RNA", at positions 354 to 796 of the family's 1533-position model. The record is from RNAcentral.